GGCUUAAAAGAUUACAGUGGAGUAAACACAGCUCCUCUCUGGCCAAAAUCCUCCAUCAAGCCAGCCGUCUGGCCCUCUUCUCCCUCCACACCCAUUGUUUCUGAGAACGACGUAGAGAAACUCAGCUGCAGAACAUCCAUCACGCUACUUGCUGGUUUCAGUCUUAUGGUGUUUGCAGCCGUCUCAGCGACUCUGCUUGUGUUCUUUCUAAAGAAUCGGAAGAAAUAAUCCACAGAUAAAUCUGGAACUUGCAGUUCUCUCAACACCAUGGUAAGCAGUUUAUGCAUAUUUUUUCAUCCAUCAAGUGGCUGGCAUAAUGGGGAUAUUUCGAAACAUCAUAAAACCCAUGUCCUAUAAAUAUGGUUCACUUUGCUUCACAGGAAGUGACAUAUAUUCUGCAGAACAACAGAACAAUCCAUCUAAUGGAUUAUGUUACCAACUACAAUUUUUGUCAUGUAAUUUGUAAUCAGUAACUGACUACAAUUUGCAAUCUACCCAGCACUGAAAAUAGGUUCAAAUAAAUAUUUUUAAAACUCUCAGAUAUAAUCAAAUCACAGUCCAAUAUCUUU
Long non-coding RNA from Rhinichthys klamathensis goyatoka, 569 nucleotides. RefSeq lists it as uncharacterized. NCBI's taxonomy places the organism in Eukaryota, Metazoa, Chordata, Actinopteri, Cypriniformes, Leuciscidae. The record is from RefSeq and is a predicted model, not a curated record. The transcript is spliced from 3 exons.